CGGGGGGGGCAAGCGUUGUUCGGAAUUACUGGGCGUAAAGGGCUCGUAGGCGGCCAACUAAGUCGGAUGUGAAAUCCCCAGGCUUAACCUGGGAACUGCAUCCGAUACUGGAUGGCUUGAAUUCGGGAGAGGGAUGCAGAAUUCCAGGUGUAGCGGUGAAAUGCGUAGAUAUCUGGAGGAAUACCGGUGGCGAAGGCGGCAUCCUGGACCGACAUUGACGCUGAGGAGCGAAAGCUAGGGGAGCAAACGGGAUUAGAUACCCCGGUAGUCCUAGCCCUAAACGAUGAAUGCUUGGUGUGGCGGGUAUCGAUCCCUGCCGUGCCGAAGCUAACGCAUUAAGCAUUCCGCCUGGGGAGUACGGUCGCAAGGCUG
This 372-nucleotide ribosomal RNA is filed under the name uncultured organism. RNAcentral describes it as "bacterial SSU rRNA". It matches the Rfam family "Bacterial small subunit ribosomal RNA", at positions 526 to 896 of the family's 1533-position model. The record is from RNAcentral.